CCGGUAAACGGCGGCCGUAACUAUAACGGUCCUAAGGUAGCGAAAUUCCUUGUCGGGUAAGUUCCGACCUGCACGAAUGGCGUAAUGAUGGCCAGGCUGUCUCCACCCGAGACUCAGUGAAAUUGAACUCGCUGUGAAGAUGCAGUGUACCCGCGGCAAGACGGAAAGACCCCGUGAACCUUUACUAUAGCUUGACACUGAACAUUGAGCCUUGAUGUGUAGGAUAGGUGGGAGGCUUUGAAGUGUGGACGCCAGUCUGCAUGGAGCCGGCCUUGAAAUACCACCCUUUAAUGUUUGAUGUUCUAACGUUGGCCCCUGACCGGGGUUGCGGACAGUGUCUGGUGGGUAGUUUGACUGGGGCGGUCUCCUCCUAAAGAGUAACGGAGGAGCACGAAGGUUGGCUAAUCCUGGUCGGACAUCAGGAGGUUAGUGCAAUGGCAUAAGCCAGCUUGACUGCGAGCGUGACGGCGCGAGCAGGUGCGAAAGCAGGUCAUAGUGAUCCGGUGGUUCUGAAUGGAAGGGCCAUCGCUCAACGGAUAAAAGGUACUCCGGGGAUAACAGGCUGAUACCGCCCAAGAGUUCAUAUCGACGGCGGUGUUUGGCACCUCGAUGUCGGCUCAUCACAUCCUGGGGCUGAAGUAGGUCCCAAGGGUAUGGCUGUUCGCCAUUUAAAGUGGUACGCGAGCUGGGUUUAGAACGUCGUGAGACAGUUCGGUCCCUAUCUGCCGUGGGCGCUGGAGAACUGAGGGGGGCUGCUCCUAGUACGAGAGGACCGGAGUGGACGCAUCACUGGUGUUCGGGUUGUCAUGCCAAUGGCACUGCCCGGUAGCUAAAUGCGGAAGAGAUAAGUGCUGAAA
Molecule: ribosomal RNA, 857 nt
Filed under: Escherichia coli
Lineage: Bacteria; Pseudomonadati; Pseudomonadota; Gammaproteobacteria; Enterobacterales; Enterobacteriaceae
Description: partial 23S ribosomal RNA
Rfam family: Bacterial large subunit ribosomal RNA
Source: RNAcentral